Molecule: long non-coding RNA, 1142 nt
Filed under: Lynx canadensis (Canada lynx)
Lineage: Eukaryota; Metazoa; Chordata; Mammalia; Carnivora; Felidae
Description: lncRNA (ENSLCNG00005013759.1)
Source: RNAcentral
GUUCGCGCGGCGGGGCUCUGCGCUCCCGGCUGGCUGAGUCCUGUGGAUGCUCUACAGGCUGGGUGAGGGCAGCGUCCGUUGUGGUAUCUUUGCCGAGCCGUGAGCCUCCAGUAUUGGCUCCGUCUCCCUGAGACUCGUUGUCCCGACUAUGGGAUGGGCUGCCUGUCACGGAGAUAUCCGCCCAGGCCGCGCGCUCUCCCGGGCCUCCUCACCCUGUCCUCGUCCCCGCUGCCCCGGCUAGCGGCACCCAGGGCCCUGUAGGCAUUUUACGCAGGGAGGGGUGAGGAUUGAGGCCCACACUGCCACGGUCAGCCUGAGGUCAUCCAUCCUUUGGCAGGGCUGGGGUCGGGUCUGCCGACCCGCGGGACCCACCGGGGUAUCCGCCUUUCAGUGUGCAGCUCCGCCCCCAGGGUCCCGAGGCGUUGGCGGUGAUGACAGACCGGCUCAGGAGACUCGGCACCACAUCCUCUAGGAUGAGUGCAUCUGAAUCCACUGCACGACAUCCAGGAGCCGGGUCCUUCUCCUGCUGGCCUCGCAUCUUGAUGUGCCCAGGACAGGGGCGCCUGGGUGGCGCAGUCGGUUAAGCGUCCGACUUCAGCCAGGUCACGAUCUCGCAGUCCGUGAGUUCGAGCCCCGCGUCGGGCUCUGGGCUGAUGGCUCGGAGCCUGGAGCCUGUUUCCGAUUCUGUGUCUCCCUCUCUCUCUGCCCCUCCCCCGUUCAUGCUCUGUCUCUCUCUGUCCCAAAAAUAAAUAAAAAAACAAAAACAAACAAAAAAAAACGUUGAUGUGCCCAGGACCUUUCUCCCUAACAUCCUCAACAACGCGCUCACCCUCCUCCACAAGGCCCCCUACCUGACUAUGGCCUUACACGGGGCAGGCUACCAGCCUACUGUCCCCUGAGCAUGUUCCAGACCCAUCCCCGGUACCCCAGACCUGCCUGAGUCCAGUGGCCCAGGCACCACCAGACUCAACACUUGUAAAGUCCAACUGCGGAUCUUCUCCAACACUUCCUCCUCCUGCCAAGGCUCCCUGGCCGCUGGUCCCCAGCUCCUCACUGAACUCAGGCUGGAGAGGCUUUUCUGAGCUCCGUCUCCUGCUCCGUGCAGCAGACACCGCGUCCGGGGCGAUGACUCCUGGGCGGCG